Leptonychotes weddellii (Weddell seal) is the source of this 981-nucleotide non-coding RNA. Lineage: Eukaryota; Metazoa; Chordata; Mammalia; Carnivora; Phocidae. The record is from RefSeq and is a predicted model, not a curated record.
UUGAAAUGCAAAUCAUGUAGUUCAUCGAUUCGAUGGUUUCUUUUUUUUCUCUCCUGUUUACAUUUUAACAGCUCUGAAAUCGAAGACGCGUCGGGGCGUUCUGUUCUAUAUUACCAUCGGUGAUCUCUUAACUUCGGUGAAGCGUCGCAGCACUUCACAGGAUUACGGUGAGGUCCAAAUAGUUCACGGACGAUGCUUGUGACGGUGCCGAACAUGCAUGGGCCGUCAUUAAGCGUUAGCCAUUGCGACCUCUUACUUAAAGCCCUUCCCUAGCUCUUCCCUGCCUAUGGCAUGUAGACCUGGCCGUUGACCCUGACGUUCAAGGCUGUCCAUCAGCAGCUCUCCACGUCUUAUAGGAUCCUCAUCCAGAGCUGACCAAACACAGCUCUAAGUGCAAUCUCCACCUGAAUGCCCCACGAGCCUCGCAGAGUCUCCACGUCCAAACCCACCGCCCUCCCGGACCCACCUCCUCCUUGGCGUCUCCCUCAGGGUUAACGGCAGUGCCAAGAGUCUACGGACAUUCCCUUGCUCUCAUGGCGCACGCGUACUUCUCAGCCGCUUGUUCGCGUACCCCGAUGCCCUUCUCCCGCGGCACAGACGUCACCUCUUCCGAGAAGCCUGCUCUGAGCUCCUGAGGCAGCGUGGAGUGUCCCUUCCCGAGACGUCUCUCAUGUGGUACCUGUUACACCAGAGCCUGGCACAGGUGACACCAGGAAUCAUCCCUGACAAUCGCGCCCCGUCCCUGGAGCUCUGUGACACGCUCCCCACAUGAGCUCCUCAUGAGGACUUGGCAUAGGAAGCUGGUGGCGUUUGUCUCUGUCCUGUGCACAUAAGACCGACCCACCAGAGUGUGGUUUUCCUGAGCCCCUCACCCAACAGGAGAGGCUACUCGGGGUCUGGCAGUUUUAAACAAUGGCCCCUAAAUUCUUUGACAUGUCUCCCGUCAAGAGGUAGGGUCGGGCGCCUGGGUGGUUCGGUUGG